This 73-nucleotide transfer RNA is filed under the name Ovis aries (sheep). It matches the Rfam family "tRNA". From Rfam's summary of the family: Transfer RNA (tRNA) molecules are approximately 80 nucleotides in length. Lineage: Eukaryota; Metazoa; Chordata; Mammalia; Artiodactyla; Bovidae. The record is from Rfam by way of RNAcentral.
UCCCCAGUGGUCUAGUGGUUAGUACUCUAUGCUUCCACCGCAGACGGCAUGGGUUUAAUCCCUGACUGGGGAA